AGUUGCGACAGGUGCGCUGGGCAGACAGAGCGCAGGACCGUGGCCGUGCAGCGCCGAGCCCCGACGGCUUUCUAGUCAGCCCACAGGUGUCUCAGAGUCUGUAGACAAGAUGGAAUCGACUCCAUUUAAUAGACGCCAGUGGACUUCCCUGUCAUUGAGAGUAACAGCCAAAGAGCUUUCUCUUGUCAACAAGAACAAGUCAUCCGCAAUUGUGGAAAUAUUCUCCAAGUACCAGAAGGCUGCUGAAGAAGCCAACAUGGAAAGGAAGAAAAAUAACCCUGAAAGUCUGCCCCAGCACUUUAGAAGAGGGACCCUGUCUGUGUUAAAGAAGAAGUGGGAGAACCCGGUGGCUGGGGCAGAAUUCCACACAGACUCACUGCCAAACAGCAGCAGUGAGGGUGGGCACACAGCGGACUACCCUCCUGCUGAAGUGACGGACAAGCCUGCUCCUGGAGUCAGAGCUGACCGGGAAGAGCACACCCAGCCCAAACCUAGAUUUGGAUCUCGUCCGGAAGCAGUUAUCCAGAGCCGGUAUCCUCGCUCAGAGAACAGCCACGAUUUUAAAGCCCAGGCCACGGAGAGCCAAAAAAUGGAAAACUGUCUGGGAGAUUCCAGGCAUGAAGCAGAGAAGCCAGAGACGAGCGAAAACACAGAAACUUCAGGCAAAAUAGAGAAAUACAACGUUCCACUGAAUAGACUGAAGAUGAUGUUUGAGAAAGGUGAACACAACCAAACCAAGAGUCUCUGGACCCAAAGCCGAAAUGCGGGUGGAAGGAGGCUCUCUGAAAACAACUGUUCCCUGGAUGACUGGGAAAUAGGUGCGGGUCAUUUGUCUUCCUCUGCAUUCAACUCGGAGAAAAACGAGAGUAAGAGGAAUCUGGAGCUGCCACGCCUCUCAGAAACCUCCAUAAAGGACCGCAUGGCCAAGUACCAGGCUGCAGUGUCCAAGCAGAGCAGCCCAGCCAGCUACACAAAUGAGCUGAAAACCAGUGAAAGCAAAACUCAUAAAUGGGAACAGAAGGAGAAUGUGCCCCCAGGUCCCGAGGCCUGCAGCGUCCAUCAGGAAGGAAGCAAGGUUUCUACAACUGAGAAUAGUCUAGUGGCCCUCUCUGUCCCUGCUGAAGAUGACACCUGUAACUCCCAGGUGAAGAGCGAGGCCCAGCAGCCUAUGCACCCUAAGCCGCUGAGUCCUGACGCCAGGACCUCCAGUCUUCCGGAAAGUUCUCCUUCCAAAACAGCGAAGCCUCUGCGUCCUGCUCCUGGCACCUAAUCUCUGUUCCUGCCUUCCACUUUCCUCCUAAUAAGUUUCAGGCGCCGGCAAAGGAGAGCUGCGUGGAGUGUCAGAAGACGGUGUACCCCAUGGAACGGCUCCUGGCCAACCAGCAGGUGUUUCACAUCAGCUGUUUCCGAUGCUCCUACUGCAACAACAAGCUCAGUCUAGGAACAUAUGCAUCCUUACAUGGACGAAUCUACUGUAAGCCUCACUUCAAUCAACUCUUCAAGUCCAAAGGCAACUAUGACGAGGGCUUUGGGCACAAGCAGCAUAAGGAUCUGUGGGCAAGCAAGAGCGACAAUGAGGAGACUUUGGGGAGACCAGCCCAGCCGCCUAAUGCAGGGGAGAGCCCCCAUAGCCCGGGUGUAGAAGAUGCCCCCAUCGCCAAGGUCGGCGUGCUGGCGGCAAGUAUGGAAGCCAAGGCCUCUUCUCAGAGGGAGAGGGAGGAUAAGCCUGCGGAGACCAAGAAGCUGAGGAUCGCCUGGCCUCCGCCAGCCGAGCUGGGCGGUUCCGGAAGUGCCCUGGAGGAAGGGAUCAAAGUAUCGAAGCCCAAGUGGCCUCCGGAGGAUGACGUCUGCAAGACGGAGGCCCCGGAGGAUGUAGAUCUGGACCUGAAGAAGCUGCGGCGGUCUUCGUCCCUGAAGGAGAGGAGCCGCCCGUUUACGGUAGCAGCUUCCUUUCGAACCUCUUCCAUCAAGAGCCCCAAGGCCUCUUCGCCAUCUCUCAGGAAAGGUUGGAGCGAGUCCGAGCAGAGUGAGGAGUUUGGAGGAGGGAUAGCGACGAUGGAAAGGAAACAAACGGAAAAUGCCAGACCCUCUGGGGAGAAAGAGAAUGUGGGAAAAUCACGCUGGCAGGGCGAGGAAGUGCCGAGGAGCAAGGACCGUAGUUCUUUUGAGCUGGAGAGUGAGAAUUUUAUGGAAAAUGGAGCAAACAUAGCUGAAGAUGACAACCAUGUCCACGCACAGCAGUCCCCGUUAGAACCCGAGGCUCCGGGUUGGUCUGGCUUUGUAGACACCACGGCUGCUAAAGAAUUCACUACCCAGAAUCAAAAAUCCCAAGAUGUCGGGUUCUGGGAGGGAGAAGUGGUCCGAGAGCUGUCUGUGGAGGAACAGAUAAAGAGAAACCGGUACUAUGAUGAGGACGAGGAUGAAGAAUGACCGGCCGCCAUGGUUCUGGCCUUAGAUUUUGGUUAGCAACUCACUGCCCUUUAUCAAGUGGUGCGCAGAAACAGGCAGCUUGGCGCCAAGGGUCAUUCAUGUGGGAGCAACUUUGGAAAUGAAUUCCCGCUAGCAAAACAGGGCAAAAACAAGCAAAAACAAAACAGACAAACAAACUCACCCAAAACCAAUUCUAAGCGCAUUGUCAAAACACCAGUGAUCUUUUAAGCCUGGUGUGGUGGUAAACACCUUUAAUCCCAGCACUCCACUCGGGAGGCAGAGGCAGAGGCAGGUGGGUCUCUCUGAGUUCCAGGACAGCCAGGGCUACAAAGAGAAACCUUGCCUCAAAACAAACAAACAAACAAAUCCCUCCAUUUUUUCAGGGAAGGGCUAAGUAGGGAUUUCUCUCACUGAUGCUGCCUGCCAUCCACUGCAUUCCCCAAAUCAAGAUUGGUGUGGUUAGAUAUUUAGAGGCUUGUUUUCACACUACAGAGACCAUUGUGGAAUUAGAGACACACACAACACAUUUAGGAGCCCACCUCAUGACCAGAGGCACUUUAGUAUAAAGGGCACAGUGUAGCUAUUUUACCAAUUUCAUUUUUUAGUACUCAAUUGCUGAAAAUCAAAUAUUUAGUCUUUCAAGCUUUUGAAAUGCAUUCUCUUCCUCUGGUAGAUAGGGAAAGCUUACUGUCUUUCAUCCUACAUCCUGUAUUUUUAAUCACUGAGGCACAAAACAGCAACCUUUGGCCAAGUGAAAGGCGCUGGUUACUGAAGCCGGAGCAGCAGUGUUCAAUCCCCAAAACCUACGUAAAGGUGAGAGAGCAGACUGCACAGAGCUGUCCACACGUGCCCAUCAUCAACAAUAAGAAACAAGUUAAAAAAAAAAAUACAACCAACCUCACAAACACCUGCGAGACAGAGAACCAACCUAUAUACUUUGGUGUUUGGAGAGACGGACAUUGUACCCAGAUAAUCAGUGGCGAAUGCCAGUGUGUCUCCCUGCACUCUGGGUGUUUGCCAUCUCUUCUGGUGGUUUCUCGCACUUUGCGGAAAGCUGCAGUGUUGCUGUAAGACCUUUUGGAUCACGCUUCACCAUGCUCCAAGUAAAACAACCUGAGAUCAGAGCUGGGAAGCCUCAGGUCGAGGCGAAUCUUGGCUCUGAAAUGUAUUGAUUUUUAGGCCAGAUAAUUCUUCCAGGGUUGCAUUAAAUCACUUUUAGGUCUGUCUUCUUAGGCCGUGUCCUACUUUGAUUCAUUGUAGUGAUAAAACACUGGGCAGGAGCAACUCAGAGGGGAAGGGUUUGUCUCCACUCACAGGCCACGGGUCACACACAGGCCACGCGCGCACGCAGCAUGGUCAAGGGAAGCGAGGCCAGAACCCAGAGGCAAGAGCUGAUGCAGACCGUGUGGGAACACUGCUUGCUGACUUCAUCUCUGUGGCUUACUCAACUGGUUUUCUUACACCACCCAGGGCCACCUGGCCAGGGGUGACACUGCUCACAACAAAAACAGACAAGGCCCACAGGUGCAUCGGUUAGAGGCGGUUCAUCAGCUGAGUCCCACAUCCAGGUGACUCUGUGUGAGGCUGGUAAACCCAGAGGAGGAUAGAUGGUUUUCUCUGGUAUUAAGGCUUUAGAAUAUUAUAAACGAGUGCAGUUCUUGUAUGUAACUGAUAUUCCAAAUGAUGUGUAUGGCGGGGUGGGCUUAAGGUAGUGGCCUCUUUGCAUUUGUAGAGAUUUAGCUCAGUUUUAGAGAUGUAAAAUAAUCUGUUUCCUUAUGGCCUUGUUUAGCCUAAAACAUUUUUAUUCAAUAAAGCUUUUAAUUUACA
RNA transcript from Mus musculus (house mouse), 4257 nucleotides. It is a transcript of the gene named LIM domain and actin binding 1, with no coding region annotated. The transcript has 12 exons. The record is from RefSeq and is marked validated. Lineage: Eukaryota; Metazoa; Chordata; Mammalia; Rodentia; Muridae.